This 399-nucleotide ribosomal RNA is filed under the name uncultured bacterium. RNAcentral's name for it is "bacterial SSU rRNA". It matches the Rfam family "Bacterial small subunit ribosomal RNA", at positions 359 to 775 of the family's 1533-position model. The record is from RNAcentral.
GAAUAUUGCACAAUGGGGGAAACCCUGAUGCAGCAACGCCGCGUGAGUGAUGAAGGUCUUCGGAUCGUAAAGCUCUGUCUUCAGGGACGAUAAUGACGGUACCUGAGGAGGAAGCCCCGGCUAACUACGUUCCAGCAGCCGCGGUAAUACGUAGGUGGCGAGCGUUGUCCGGAUUUACUGGGCGUAAAGGGAGCGUAGGCGGAUUUUUAAGUGAGAUGUGAAAUACCCGGGCUCAACUUGGGUGCUGCAUUUCAAACUGGAAGUCUAGAGUGCAGGAGAGGAGAGUGGAAUUCCUAGUGUAGCGGUGAAAUGCGUAGAGAUUAGGAAGAACACCAGUGGCGAAGGCGACUCUCUGGACUGUAACUGACGCUGAGGCUCGAAAGCGUGGGGAGCAAACAG